Molecule: ribosomal RNA, 101 nt
Filed under: Ovis aries (sheep)
Lineage: Eukaryota; Metazoa; Chordata; Mammalia; Artiodactyla; Bovidae
Source: RNAcentral
AUCUAUGGCCAAACCACCCUGAAUGCGCCUGAUCUUGUCAGCUAAGCAGGGUCGGGCUUGGGGAGUGAUUGGACGGAAGACUCAUAAUACUGUUAUAGGUA